CUCGUAUUAUCUGAUUUUGUGCUGCAUAAAAUGUUUACUUCAUCUGAAUUGGAUGGGAUUAGUUCGCUAGAACUUGGUGCUGGAACUGGGCUGGUGGGUAUGUUGCUUGCACAUGUUNNNNNNNNNNNNUCCUAACAGACUGUGGCACUGAAAUCCUUGACAACUGUGCAAGGAAUGUUCAACUCAAUUCUGAAGUGUUAAACUAUCAGGAUGCAAUUCAUGUACGCGAACUUGAUUGGUUGGGUUCCUGGCCACCUGCAUUAUGCCUAGAAAAUUCUGGAGAUCAUAAAAGGUAAAAUGUUAGUUGAUAUUCUUUUUAACAAGCAC
RNAcentral lists this unclassified non-coding RNA (327 nucleotides) under Hevea brasiliensis (rubber tree). The record is from RNAcentral. Lineage: Eukaryota; Viridiplantae; Streptophyta; Magnoliopsida; Malpighiales; Euphorbiaceae.